CAUGGUGUAGGCUCAACAGACCUGUUAAGAAACAGGAUCAAAUAUAAACUAACCAAAUGCUUCCAAUAUCAGAAAACAAACAAUUUGGGUUUCCUGUUUUCUGCUUUUUAGUUCCCUGUCACAACUUAUUUUCUGCUAUUAGUUUUCUCACUGUUUUCCUACCAAAACAAGAUCUACACACUAACAAACAUCAAACGUAGAACUCAAUAUUGCACGGUUAACGCCUCAAAUCACACAACCACCAAACUACACCUAACUUGAAGCUACAUAGUACCAGAACUUAACGAAUGGGGAAAAACAAACCAAAUCAAACCAAAUCAAAUCAAAACGUAAUGCAGCUAACAUGAUCUUCAAAAUUUCAAUGAAGCACAGAUUUUCUCUUGUUUGAGAUAAAACUCGAUUUAAAUAAGCUUGAAAUCGUUCACUAAACAGCAAAACAGAGUAUCAACAACAAAUUCCUAGAGAACAUCGAGAGUUAACAUUGAACAAACAGAAAGAGACAAGGAAAGAAAUCAAGAAGCAGAUCUGGAAAGGAAAUUGGAGUAGUUAAAGUGGUG
RNAcentral lists this unclassified non-coding RNA (557 nucleotides) under Hevea brasiliensis (rubber tree). Lineage: Eukaryota; Viridiplantae; Streptophyta; Magnoliopsida; Malpighiales; Euphorbiaceae. The record is from RNAcentral.